This 494-nucleotide ribosomal RNA is filed under the name uncultured bacterium. RNAcentral describes it as "partial 16S ribosomal RNA". It matches the Rfam family "Bacterial small subunit ribosomal RNA", at positions 30 to 506 of the family's 1533-position model. The record is from RNAcentral.
UGACCGCUGGCGGCGUGCCUACUACAUGCAAGUCGAGCGACCAGACGAGGAGCUUGCUCCUCUGACGUUAGCGGCGGACGGGUGAGUAACACGUGGAUAACCUACCUAUAAGACUGGGAUAACUUCGGGAAACCGGAGCUAAUACCGGAUAAUAUAUUGAACCGCAUGGUUCAAUAGUGAAAGACGGUUUUGCUGUCACUUAUAGAUGGAUCCGCGCCGCAUUAGCUAGUUGGUAAGGUAACGGCUUACCAAGGCAACGAUGCGUAGCCGACCUGAGAGGGUGAUCGGCCACACUGGAACUGAGACACGGUCCAGACUCCUACGGGAGGCAGCAGUAGGGAAUCUUCCGCAAUGGGCGAAAGCCUGACGGAGCAACGCCGCGGGAGUGAUGAAGGUCUUCGGAUCGUAAAACUCUGUUAUUAGGGAAGAACAAAUGUGUAAGUAACUAUGCACGUCUUGACGGUACCUAAUCAGAAAGCCACGGCUAACUACGU